Molecule: long non-coding RNA, 1008 nt
Filed under: Daucus carota (carrot)
Lineage: Eukaryota; Viridiplantae; Streptophyta; Magnoliopsida; Apiales; Apiaceae
Description: long non-coding RNA (DCAR_LNC004545)
Source: RNAcentral
AGUGAAAAAGAUUCCGGGGGAUUGUUCGGAGAAUGAUGGGAAGAAUGCGAGAGAAUUGGUGUGCUUGAGGGUUUUAGAGAGUCUAUCUGUUCUCGAAAAUGGAAAAAUGAAAGCGGAUUCUGGUGCUCGUAUUAGUCCAUCGGAUUGUUGUGAAGAUGUUCUUAUACAAGUACUGCUUAAGAUUGUACGUGUCUGUUUCUCGAUGUUGGUCACGUUUUAUUUAUUUCGUGAUAUUUGAUUAUGUAUAUAUGUUUUUGUGUAUGUUAUCAGUCGUCAAGAGAAAAUCAGGAAUUGAGUAAAUCUGGAAUGUUGAAAGGGGAUAUCGAGCAAUAUGUUAAGCGGAAAAUAUCUUGCUUGCCUAAAUGCGGUUUGGAACGGGUAGGGAUUUUUUUUAGAGUUUUAUGAGGUAGUGGAAGCUGCAAGAAGUUAAAAUUUGCUUAAUGUUUGUUGUGUGAUUCUGUGUCUUUUGUAUUGGGGAAUAACUGAAGGAUGUGCUUUUGAAAGACAGCGAUGUGAUUCCCUUGUCUGUGAAGGAAAAGAGUGGUUUGUUAAAGAAAUAUCAUUCUGAUGGAAAUGCAACAAGGGAUGAAAGGAGUGACCGUGAUGCUUUGUUCCCCUGGUUUUUGGCGAUUGAAGCCCUCACCUCUGAUCAAACCGAUCCAUCUUUUCUAUUCGGUAUACAUAUCUUCUAAAGUUCAAUGUUUUUGACAUUUAUUUGUAUUUAUAUAUGUAAUAUGUGUUGGCUGUGUGUUGUAUUUGUGAUUUUUGUUGUAGAUUUAGUGAAAAAGAUUCCGAGGGAUUGUUCGGAGAAUGACGGGAAGAAUGCGAGAGAAUUGGUGUGCUUGAGGGUUUUAGAGAGUCUAUCUGUCCUCGAAAAUGGAAAAAUUAAAGCGGAUUCUAGUGCUCGUAUUAGUCCAUCGGAUUGUGGUGAAGAUGUUCUUAUACAAGUACUGCUUAAGAUUGUACAUGUCUGUUUCUCGAUGUUGGUCACAUUUUAUUUAUUUCGCG